This 305-nucleotide ribosomal RNA is filed under the name uncultured bacterium. RNAcentral's name for it is "bacterial SSU rRNA". It matches the Rfam family "Bacterial small subunit ribosomal RNA", at positions 337 to 635 of the family's 1533-position model. The record is from RNAcentral.
GCCUACGGGGGGCAGCAGUAGGGAAUUUUCGCCAAUGGGCGCAAGCCUGAACGAGCAAUGCCGCGUGAACGAGGAAGGUCUUCGGAUCGUAAAGUUCUGCUGAAGGGGAAAAAGAGCGGAGAGAGGAAAUGGUCUCCGAUUGAUAUUACCCUUCGAGGAAGUCACGGCUAACUACGUGCCAGCAGCCGCGGUAAUACGUAGGUGGCGAGCGUUAUCCGGAAUGAUUGGGCGUAAAAGGUGCGUAGGCGGCCUGCUAAGUCUGGAGUGAAAGGUACCGGCUCAACCGGUACAGGCUCUGGAAACUG